CUUUAUUCAGGAUGGACUUAAGGGCUUUCAGCUUCCUUCCAGCUCUUUCCAUGCUUAGAAAGGGAAGAAAAAAAAAAAAAAGCCAGGGACUGGCUCCCAAGUGUCACCACACAACAGUUGUUCUGACUCUCCGUCCCCAGUCUGAAUUUGGCUACAUUUGUGUCUGCGUUUAACUCACACAAGUAUAAGGACAGCCGUCAGAGGAGCCAGAAACUACAUCGAGAGCGCAACUGCUUUCGCAACAGCCUUUGUGACAACUAGAGUCGCUCAAGAGAAUGAUUUCUUUUCUGAGAUGGACUCUGGGGCUCCACCCUUCUCAACUCAGCCGUUGUUCUACAAUAUAUCUGGCCUUCGAUGGAGACUUACCGUAACCUUCAAACACCACAACCUUAUCACAGCUGCCACCCUGUCCCUUCUGUUGCUUCCCUGGAAACCUCUGUGGAGGGGCACUUCUCCUUGUGUUCAGGAAGUGCAAACAUUAACAUAAGAGCAGUUUAGUGAGGAUAUUUGCUUGCAUCUGGGUACAAACAUGAAAGGGUUCCCCCCCCCCCCGUAAUUGUUACUAAGUGUACUCUGUCAAAAUUCUCUGCCUGCCACUUGCCAUAAGCCUCCUUAGUGGCACCUCAGCUCAGUGCCCUGGAUCCCGAAAGUCUUAAGGCUGGCAGUAUUCAUUUUCAAUGUCUAAAGUCAGUUGCUUUCAAAGUCUCUGCCUCCUCCUUCAAAGAGGUAGAGGUGAUAAUCCUUAGUAUUAGCACCCCCCCCCACUUACUCCCCAGCCCAACCCCGACAACACUUGCUAUAGGAUCUGAAGGCUCUUCCUUGCCCUAGAGAGGCUGCUGUGUUCUCUGUAGGGCGUAGCUGCUUAUUUGACCAGUGUUGACUACGUGGCUCUGUUUCUUUGGAGUUUUACAUAGAAAAUCUCAUGUCUCUGGCUUUUCCCCCUCUCCAGACAGGGUUUCCCUGUGUAACCCUGGCUGUCCUGGAACUCGGCUCUGUAGACCAGGCUGGCCUCGAAUUCCAGAGAUCUGCCUGCCUUGGUUUCCCGAGUGCUGGGAUUAAAGGCGUGUGCCCCCUGAGCCGGUUCAUGUGCUGGCUCUUAGGAGGACUAUACCACAUAUCCUUGGGGAUGCUGAGUCCCCGAGGUGCGGUGAUCUGCUUCGCGCCACGAUACGUGCUUAAUUGAGAAGCUUGUUGACUUAAACCCAGCUACCUUCUAGCCUUCUUUGUAGUUGAUAAGAGCUAUAAGAAACCCUUUGGUUUUUGCUACUCCAGAGAGUAUCCAGUCUGGACAGCUGGCACAUCCUCUGCACGUUAGCUUGUCUCUCCGGCUCCUCCUUCUGGCUCUCGAGGACCAUGUGCUGGCUCAGUUCAGAGAUGGUGACUCUUUCCUCUCCAAGUCACUCUUCACUCCACAGCUUGGUGUUGACAGUGGCGAGUCACAUCUCUAUCACGGCCUCGUCCUGUGGAGGCCUAGCCCAGUUCUCUCCAAGCAAGAAGGGACUUUGGCAGGGACUCCGGCUACUCUGUAAAUUGCAUCAUUUGUUUUCUCGAAAGUUUUUCAUCAAACAACUGCGUCUACAGAAAGGUUGACUUCCUGCAAUCCCCGUUCCUCAGAUCUGCGGAGUUCUUUAAACAUGGACUGUAAUGCAGAGUUUUAUGUUGUUCUUAGUGAUACUCAGUAUACAGUAUAUUAAAGUGGAGGUAACCCAACAGUAUUUCAAGCCACAAGGAUUUCACAAGGAGCUUGCAGAAAUUCCGAACCAUUGAACGGUCUGCUGUCUCCAGCACGCAGGAGCCCAUUCUGCCUCCCAGUUCCAGCUUCAGGAGGGCCACCCUCCAUCCAGACAUCAGGGUUGCGUUUCAGCAAACAGCAAGGAAGAAUCAGAAGCAAAGGGUAUCUUUUGUUCUCGUUUCCAGUGAACUCCCUCUGUGAGCCCUCACUGGCCAAACUUACGUACAUGACACGGAGAUCACCUGGAGGACCAAGGAUGUACGCAGGCAAAUGGGAAUCAAAUGUCCCUUGCUGCAGAUGAAGCAGCUUUGGAGAGUGGCCACCUUUCAGUAACGAGAGCAUUAGUAACUUCAGCUCAGAUAUGAAACAAACCAUCUGCUUGAAGAUGAACUUGCAACAUCGCCAGCCUGCCCACAUUCCCUUCCCCAUUUUGCUCCGAUAAAGGCGUUGUCUUCUUUUGAAGGUUCCCCUUACAAGUCUCCCAAAAUGGAAGAAGCUGCACUAAACACAAAUAGCCUCUCUCAAACACACCCACUAGGUGAGUGAGACAGACUGAAGACAAAUGGGACAAACGUCAUGUUAGUUGAAACACAUUGGAACUUGGCAAGUAAGAGUUACUAUCUGAUAUGUAAGUCCCUCCCACCCUGUGAGGUUUAAUCAGCCAACCAUUGGCUUACAUGGAAUUCCUCUAAUCCUUAUCAUCACGUGCAAUUACUGAAAUGAAUACCAGGUUUUAGAAAUGCUACAACAGUUCCUGACAGAAUGAUAAUCAACGGCUAUACCGUAUGGGUCAGAUCCGAGAUAGAAUAGGCGUUCCUAAGACUAUGCUUAAGGAAGAGUUGGAGCAGAUAGGAUUUUCACACAAUGGUCAAACAUGAGGCUGUUCGUGAAGCCAAGGCAAGCUCUCUGACGGGAUGCGAGCACGGAGAGCAUUUUACUCCCGGCUAUGUCAUGGAUCCUGCAAGAAUGGGUUACAUGGACAUGAUGUGGUGGCGGAAUUGAAUACCGCAAACCUCGUGCCUAAAUAUCUGUUGGACGGCACUGGGAAACCAGGCAGGCGCGGUUUACCUGGGAGUAAGGCGUGGAUAACCCCACCAGAGUAGUAUUUAGUUCACAGAGCAGGGCAUUUGAAGCUAUUGAAAAAUAUAUACUAUUUUUCACAGAUUAUUCAGGAAGAAGUAUUACCCCCUAAAAUUUUCAUAUGCAUGGCCUAACAGAUCCCCUUUUCUGUUUAAUCCGGUUAAGCUAAGGAGCCCUGACUAAUACACCUGACUAAUAGGGCGCAGGGAAGAAUUCCUCAGGCUUGUGGGUGUGUUAGAAAGACUUGCUAAACUGCAGGUUGCUGGCCUCUCCUCCACAGCGCGUGAUGUGGUAAGGCAGGGUCCAACGCUACCGAAACUGCAGUCACUUGUUAUGCAUGAGCGAAUGAGUAAAUAGACUCGGAGUGAAUCCUUUAGUUCAUAAAAUAAGAGAUCACGUCUGAUGGUCUAGGGUUGUAAUUGUUGCUUUGUGAGAGGCUGAGGCAGGAGGAUCACGAGUUUCCGUCUCUUCUGACCUACCCAGUGAAUUCAAGGUCAGUCGUGGCUACAUGGUGAGACCCUGGACAAAGUUAGGACUGGGAGAUGUAGCCCAGUGAUUACGACGCAUGCGCGAGGUCCUCAGCUCGCUUCCUAGCCCUUCAAAAGAGACAGAAAUGAAACAAAAUCAUGACAUAAACCACGAGAUGGGACGAUCUCUGGGAUUUGUUUGUUUCUAUGAGUCUAAACUACAAAAUGUUCUACUUAUAUAGUUUGCAUUUCUUAAUUUGUUAUGUGUAUGUACGUGGGGCUGGGACACACAGGCCACGGUAUACGUGUGGGCUUAAGAAGAAACCUCACAGUUCUCUCCAAACUCAGCUCCGCACCCUUGGUAGGGAGCAUCUUGAUUCUCCGAGCCAUCUUGCUGGCCACUACUUAUGUAUAUUUUUCCUAUUCAAAUAAACACUGUGGUGUUUACUGAGA
Molecule: long non-coding RNA, 3732 nt
Filed under: Mus musculus (house mouse)
Lineage: Eukaryota; Metazoa; Chordata; Mammalia; Rodentia; Muridae
Description: predicted gene, 36283
Source: RNAcentral